UNNNNANUCUUCCACAAUGGGCGAAAGCCUGAUGGAGCAACGCCGCGUGUGUGAUGAAGGCUUUAGGGUCGUAAAGCACUGUUGUAUGGGAAGAAAUGCUAGAAUAGGGAAUGAUUCUAGUUCGACGGUACCAUACCAGAAAGGGACGGCUAAAUACGUGCCAGCAGCCGCGGUAAUACGUAUAUCCCGAGCGUUAUCCGGAUUUAUUGGGCGUAAAGCGAGCGCAGACGGUUGAUUAAGUCUGAUGUGAAAGCCCGGAGCUCAACUCCGGAAUGGCAUUGGAAACUGGUUAACUUGAGUGUUGUAGAGGUAAGUGGAACUCCAUGUGUAGCGGUGGAAUGCGUAGAUAUAUGGAAGAACACCAGUGGCGAAGGCGGCUUACUGGACAACAACUGACGUUGAGGCUCGAAAGUGUGGGUAGCAAACAGGAUUAGAUACCCUGGUAGUCCACACCGUAAACGAUGAAUACUAGGUGUUAGGAGGUUUCCGCCUCUUAGUGCCGAAGCUAACGCAUUAAGUAUUCCGCCUGGGGAGUACGACCGCAAGGUUG
Molecule: ribosomal RNA, 550 nt
Filed under: uncultured bacterium
Lineage: Bacteria
Description: bacterial SSU rRNA
Rfam family: Bacterial small subunit ribosomal RNA
Source: RNAcentral